RNAcentral lists this long non-coding RNA (3435 nucleotides) under Marmota monax (woodchuck). Lineage: Eukaryota; Metazoa; Chordata; Mammalia; Rodentia; Sciuridae. The record is from RNAcentral.
CCUGCCCUGUGUGCUCACCUCGCUGUCCCCGCUGUCCCCACUAUCCCGUGCCCCAGGCGCUGCGGGUGAACAGCCUGGAGCAGCUGUGCAACAACCUCGCCAGCGAGCACCUGCAGCUCUUCUGCAGCCGAGUGCUGCUGGCCCAGGAGGAGGUAGGAGAGCUGAGCACAGACAGCACGGGGGCCAGGGCACUGCCCAGUGCAGAGGCCACCUUGGUGAAGGAAAAGUGAUGCAUGAGAGCUUGCCCGAGUCCCCCUUUCAUGGGAUGGCUGGGUUCUCCUGAACUGAGUUCACUCAUCUAUAAAAUGGGAAAGUGAGCCCUGCUUCAGCUCAGGGGGUCCCUGGGGACGUAGAUCGUAAAUGGCCAAAAGCUGUUUGUUCCCAGGAGGAGUGUCGGCGGGAGCUGCUGCCCUGGGUGCCCCUCCUUCAGCCUUUGAGGGAGUCCUGCCUGGACCUCCUAGUAGACCAUCCCCACAGCCUCCUGAGGAUCCUGGAUGCCCAGACCUGGCUGUCCCAGGUGAGGGCUGUGGCCCCAGUGUCAGGGACAAGGAGUAGGGGCCCUGGUUGGCCAGGCUGGAACCUUGUAGAGGUUAUGGGAUCCAGAGACCCUUAAGAAUUUGAAAAUGGGGGGGCUGGGGUUGUGGCUCAGUGGUAGAGCGCUCACCUAGCACAUGCGAAGCCCUUGGUUCGAUCCUCAGCACCACAUAAAAAUAAAUAAAUAAAGGUAUUGAGUCCAGCUACAACUGAAAAAUAAAUAUUAAAAAAAGAGUUUGAUAAUGAAUUUCUGUGCCAGGAAGUAUGCUAAGGAUAAAAGGUGAGCAAAGAGAGACCGUAGAGCCCAGAAAUGCUGAUUUAAAAGGAAAAGGCUGGGUGCAGUGGUGUACACCUGCAGUCCCAGCCCAGCAGGCUGAGGCAGGAGGGUUAAGGCCAGCCUGGGCAACUUAGAAAGAUCAUGUCUUUUUUUUUUUUUUUUUGUAGUUGUAAAUGGACAGAAUGCCUUUGUUUAUUUUUAUGUGGUGCUGGGAAUCGAACCCAGUGCUUCACACAUGCUAGGCAAGCGCUCUGCCACUGAGCUACAGCCCCAACCAAGAUCAUGUCUUUAAAAAGGAGGAUGGGGUUGAGGAUGUAGCUGAGUGGCAGAGCGCUUGCCUAGCUCAUGCAAAGCCCUGGGGUUCCAUCCCCAGCACGGCACGGGAAGGGGUAUAGAAAACCCUAAGCCAAAAAUGCAGAAGCUGAUAUAAAACCCACAUGCAUGAUCUGUGGGUGGAUUUGUGAGGCUCUAAGAACAUAUGUGGGUCCCAGGCCUUCUUUGGGAACUGAGGCCAGAAGGUAGAACAGGAAUAUCUAUAAAAGUUAAAUAUAUCAUGACCCUGAAUAUAAGCCAUGCCCGUUGUCCCAAUUAGAGGUCAGAAAUGAAAAAUAAUGGUAGAAUAAUCCAACACAUAAUUAUGAUCAUUCAUAUCACAUAUCAUAGAUGAUAGUCACCAUGAUAUCAAUGUAAUACUUAAGUGUUAAUAUAUAAUAGAUACUGAUAUGUAACAUAUUACCUUAAUAUGUAACUUUUUUUUUUUUGAUAUGAGGAAUUGAAUCCAAGGGUGCUUAACCACUGAGCCACAUUCCUAGCCUUUUUUUUAUAUUUUUUAUUUUGAGACAGGUUCUAAGUUGCUCAGGGCCUUGCCAAGUUGCUGAGGCUGGCUUUGAACCUAUAAUCCUCCUGCCUCAGCCUCCUGAGCCACUGGGAUUACAGGAGUGCACCACUGCCCCCACCUGUAACUUUCAUUUAUCGUUUGUUUUCUGGUUCUGGGGAUUGAACUGGGUCUCACACAUGCUAUGCAAGUGUUGUAUUGCUGAGCUAUAUCCCCAGGCCAACAUUCAUUUAUGAAACUCAAACAUAUUUGAAAUCCCUUACUAGAUAAGACAGUAUAUUAAUUUGUAAAGGAUUGCUUUUCCCCCUGCUCACGUUACUUUUUUUUUUUUGGUGAGUAGUGAGUACUGGGAAUUGAACCCAGGGCUUCACACAUGCUAGGCAAGCGCCCUGCUAUUGAGCUACACCUCCAGCCUUGUUUCCACUUUAUUUUGAGACAGAGUCUCAGUGAGUUGCUGAGGCCAGCCUCAGACUUGUGAUCCUCCCGCUCAGCCUCCUGAGUAGCUGGGAUUACAGGAGUGCAUCACCUUGCCUGGCCCACGAUGUCUUAUUAAAACUUGUCACUGGUGUCUUUGAGGCCGCAAGGCUACUUUUGGAGCACCUAGCAUGGCUUUCCAAGGCUUGAGACCCCCUCUAGUUCUAUGCUAUUUGAAACGCAGCACUGGGUGGGUCUGAGCCAUGGCUCUCCUGUGGGCAGCAGGAGUCAGACUCCCCUGAUUGAUUGCCAUGUGCUCAUUAGCUCCGUCAAGUAAGCUCUGCCUGGUUACAUGUGGAAAAUAAUGUUUGAAAUACUCAUUUAGAAGCUGUAAUUGUGGGAUCCUACAUCCGCAGUAAUUGCUGCAUCUGUCUUAAAGUCCCCUGGCCCUUGUUUCCUUUAAUUGACCCUUCAGGCAGCCUCCUCGAGCUGCCAAAUCUAGUACUGACACAAAUUUGAGGUCAGCUUCGACAACUUAGACCCUGUCUCAAAAUAAGAUUAAAAGGGCCGGGGUAUAGCUCAGUGGUGGCGCACCCCUGGGUUCAGUCCCCAGCACUGGAGAAGGGAAAAGAAAAAGAAAAGGGAGAGACACCUUUCGAGCGACUCAAUAGUCACUCUUCCUGUCUGAGGAGAGUUUGGGGGGACAAGACCUCCCUUAUAUUCAGGGCAUAUGGUCCUGGGGUCACUGGGAGGGAGUGCAGUCUCUGCAGGGGACAGUGUGUGCAAAGCCUGAGGAGGUGCCACUCAUCCCCUUAUCAGGCCACAGACCACACCUUCCUCCAGAAGUGCCACUAUCACCAUGGUGAUCACCCAAGCUACGCCAAGCCUCAGCUGCCCCUGCCCAUCUUCACAGUGCGGCACUACGCUGGGACAGUCACCUACCAGGUAUCUGGCCUAGGGACAGACUCCAGGGUGGAUCAAUGAGGUGACGUGACCUUGAUGUCCCCUCCUAAACUGAGUCACUUGACAGGUGAGAGGAUAUGGGUGAGAGGCACUUCUCAUGCUUAGCCCUGUGUCCCCACCUGGGCCAUCGGCUCCACUCAGUUCUGAGCAUGAUUUUUGGAUUCUGUGUGAACAUCUUGGGGCGACAGGGUCAAAGCCUUGGGACCUUCCAGAUGUAGAGGCAAAGCACAGGGCUGGGCCGCGGCCGAGAACCCAGGCACUUUGCCUGCCGGGCCUCCUUUUCCUCAUCGGUAAAGUGGGCAUGAAAGUCGGUCCUACAGCAUUGGCAUGAGUAUUAAAUGCAGUAGCACUGAGGGGCCUGCUAGGUGCUCAGUGAAUGGACUUCCCUGUCCUGCUCCGAGUUUCACAUCUA